Molecule: ribosomal RNA, 500 nt
Filed under: uncultured bacterium
Lineage: Bacteria
Description: bacterial SSU rRNA
Rfam family: Bacterial small subunit ribosomal RNA
Source: RNAcentral
ACUCAAAGGAAUAGACGGGGACCCGCACAAGCAGCGGAGCAUGUGGUUUAAUUCGAAGAUACCCGAAAAACCUUACCAGGACUUGACAUCGCCUGAAUAGCCGCGAAAUCGGUGAAGCAGAAGCAAUUUUGCAGGUAGACAGAUGGUGCAUGGUUGUCGUCAGCUCGUGUCGUGAGAUGUUCGGUUAAGUCCGAUAACGAGCGCAACCCUUGUUGUUAGUUGCCAUCAUUAAGUUGGGAACCCUAACAAGACCGCCAUAGAUAAUAUGGAGGAAGGUGGGGAUGACGUCAAAUCAUCAUGCCUCUUACGUCCUGGGCUACACACGUGCUACAAUGGCCACCACAAAGAGCAGCAAUAUAGUAAUAUGGAGCGAAUCUCAAAAAAGUGGUCUCAAUUCGGAUUGAGGGCUGCAACCCGCCCUCAUGAAAUCGGAGUUGCUAGUAAUCCCAAAUCAGCAUGUUGGGGUGAAUGCGUUCCCGGGUCUUGUACACACCGCCCGU